UACGGGGGGGGCAAGCGUUGUUCGGAAUUACUGGGCGUAAAGGGCUCGUAGGCGGCCAUCUAAGUCGGACGUGAAAUCCCUCGGCUUAACCGGGGAACUGCGUCCGAUACUGCAGGGCUAGAGUCCGGAAGAGGCGAGUGGAAUUCCUGGUGUAGCGGUGAAAUGCGCAGAUAUCAGGAAGAACACCUAUGGCGAAGGCAGCUCUCUGGGACGGUACUGACGCUGAGACGCGAAAGCGUGGGGAGCGAACAGG
RNAcentral lists this ribosomal RNA (253 nucleotides) under uncultured bacterium. Its description in RNAcentral is "partial 16S ribosomal RNA". It matches the Rfam family "Bacterial small subunit ribosomal RNA", at positions 524 to 776 of the family's 1533-position model. The record is from RNAcentral.